GACGAACGCUGGCGGCGUGCCUAACACAUGCAAGUCGAACGGGGUGAUUCCUUCGGGAGAUCACUUAGUGGCGAACGGGUGAGUAACGCGUGAGAAACCUGCCUUUCAGUGGGGGACAACAGUUGGAAACGACUGCUAAUACCGCAUAAUGUACACGGACCGCAUGAUCUGUGUACCAAAGCUUUAUGUGCUGAAAGAUGGUCUCGCGUCUGAUUAGCUAGAUGGCGGGGUAACGGCCCACCAUGGCGACGAUCAGUAGCCGGUCUGAGAGGAUGAACGGCCACAUUGGGACUGAGAUACGGCCCAGACUCCUACGGGAGGCAGCAGUGGGGAAUAUUGGGCAAUGGGGGAAACCCUGACCCAGCAACGCCGCGUGAAGGAAGAAGGCCUUCGGGUUGUAAACUUCUUUUAGCAGGGACGAAGAACGUGACGGUACCUGCAGAAAAAGCAACGGCUAACUACGUG
This 465-nucleotide ribosomal RNA is filed under the name uncultured bacterium. Its description in RNAcentral is "bacterial SSU rRNA". It matches the Rfam family "Bacterial small subunit ribosomal RNA", at positions 28 to 507 of the family's 1533-position model. The record is from RNAcentral.